UCACUCUGUCUGAGUUCACUUCACAGAGAAAAACGAAAACGUAAGAAUUGUUUUUGAGGAUGAAGAGCAAGGAUGGAGAAGCCAUGGAUUGAAGUUAAACACUGAUCGAGACUCAACAACUCAUUCCCCAUUUCGACCCUCUCCCUGGCUCUCGAAAACUGCUACUCGACAUCAAUAUCCUUGGCGUCUUCCUCAGGUACUAAAAAGCAAAUAGGGGGCUUAGCAGUAGGAAUAGAUCUAGGGACAACAUAUUCAUGUGUUGGUGUAUGGAAAAAUAAUCGAGUUGAGAUCAUUGCUAAUGGUCAAGGAAAUAGAACUACUCCUUCUUAUGUUUCUUUUAAUGAUACUGAGCGUAUGGUUGGUGAGGCUGCUAAGGAUCAAGCUGCUGUCAAUCCUAGCAACACAGUCUUCGAUGCGAAACGUUUAAUUGGUAGGAAGAUGAGCGAUGGGUUUGUUCAGAGGGAUAUUAAACUAUGGCCCUUCAAAGUCAUUGCUGGAGUGGACGAGAGGCCCAUGAUACAACUCAAUUACAAGGGUAAGGAGAUGCAGUUUUCAGCUGAAGAAAUCUCAUCCAUGGUUCUCAUUAAGAUGCGAGAAAUUGCCGAAGCUUAUCUUGGUACUAGUGUUAUGCAUGCUGUUAUUACAGUCCCUGCUUACUUCAGUGAUUCUCAGCGUCAUGCGACUAGAGAUGCUGGCACCAUCGCUGGCCUUAAGGUAAUGCGAAUUAUCAGUGAACCAACAGCUGCUGCAAUUGCUUACGGUCUUGAUAAGAGAGCAACAACCGAUGUUGGUGCUGCUGAGAAUGUUCUUAUCUUUGAUCUUGGUGGUGGUACUUUUGAUGUGUCGAUACUCAUCAUUAAAGAGGGUAGCUUCGAAGUUAAGGCAACAGCUGGGGAUACUCAUCUUGGAGGAGAGGAUUUCGAUAAUAGGAUGGUAAAUCAUUUUGUUCAAGAGUUUAAGAGGAAGCUGAAGAAGGAUAUUAGUGGAAACCCAAGGGCUCUUAGGAGGUUGAGAACGCCAUGUGAGAGGGCAAAGAGGGGCCUAUCAUCUAAUUUCCAUGAAACCAUUGAAAUUGAUGCUUUGUAUGAUGGAGUCGAUUUUUGGGAGUCCAUCACUCGUGCUAAAUUUGAAGAUUUGAACAAGGAUUUGUUUAGGAGUUGUAUGGAACCUGUUGAGAAAGGUUUGGCGGAUGCUAAGAUGGACAAGAGCGACGUUCAUGAUGUUGUCCUCGUUGGUGGGUCCACUAGAAUUCCUAAGGUUCAGUCUCUACUGCAGGAUUUCUUUAAUGGCAAGGAACUCUGCAAAAGCAUCAACCCUGACGAGGCCGUGGCUUAUGGUGCCGCGGUUCAAGCUGCUAUUUUGAGUGGCGAAGCAAAUGAGAAGGUGCUGGAUUUAGUGGUGGUUGAUGUAACCCCUCUUUCUCUUGGUGUUGAGGUUGAUGAUUUUGCUAUGGAUAUUAUUAUCCCAAGGAAUACCCCCAUUCCCACCAAGAAGGAAAAAACGUACUCUACCUUACAUGACAACCAAACUAAAGUGAUUACUAAGGUGUACGAGGGUGAGAGAGCUAGAACCAGCGACAAUAACUUUUUGGGUCAGUUCGUGUUGAGUGGAAUUCCUGCAGCACCUCGUGGUGUUUCUAGGUUCACUGAAUGCUUUAAUAUUGAUGCAGACGGUAUAUUGACUGUGUCGGCUGAAGAAAAGACAUCAGGGAGCAAAGCUAUGGUUAGAAUUGAGAACAACAAAGGGAGGUUGUCGAAGACUGAGAUUGAAAGGCUGGUCGGAGAGGCAGAAAAAUACAAGGCAGAAGAUUUAGAAUACAGGAUGAAGAGGGAUUCAAGGAACGCCUUCUUGAAUUACACAUCUGACAUGAAGGGCAUGAUAAAUGAUAUAGGGGAGGAGCUAACAUCAGACAAAAAGAAGAAGGUUGAGGAUGCAAUCAACAAUGCCAUUGAAUGGCUGGAUAGCAAUGAACCCUGUGACAUAGAUGCUAUCAACCAAAAGAUGAAGCAGUUCGAGAACGUCUGCAGCAUUAUCCGACAUAAGAGGCAUAAGAGGUACAAGUAGGUUGGAGCUGUUGUUGAACUGGAAGUCAUGGAAAUUGACUAAUGUGGAGUCUCUUUUAUGCUGUAGGCAGGUGCUAAUCCAAACGGUGGACCAGAUGGAUUGACAGCUCUGAUAGUUGCAACUGAAGUGGGGGCAAAAGUCAUCAAGGAUGAAGCUGGUGCAGCUCCAGAGGAACGAUUAUGGUCUGGCAUUACAUUUUGUACACAGAGGUAACUUUUUUUAGUCAGAAACACUACAAAGUUAAGCGGUUAAAUAAAUUGAUAGCUUUUAAAUGGAAGGUGAAAUAAGAACACACCCUCAUAUAUGGGAUACAAGUUGGAUCAUUUGGGAAUUGUAAGGGAAAUAUCAACAUUUUUAGUACAAAUGUGCAUUUGUCAAAUCAUUGAUCUAGAAUGAAAUAGGAUUCAAGCCUCCAUUUCUCUUUUUUUUUUUGUCAGUUAAGUUCCUUUGUAUGCUUAUUUUUAAAAUCUACUAUCAAGUUUCAGAACAGUGGAUUUUCAAAUCUCAAUGACAGUAUUUCGUAAGAAAGAGAGCUUAAUCUAUAUUAUAAGCAAGUUGAAUGGACAUCUCAGUUGAUGUUUUGAAGGUGUUAGUGUUACAUAGCAGAGGCACAUGCUUCUCCCUUAGUGGAGUUAUAAUGGGAACCACCCAUUACCACAAGUUCCACGUUACCGUUGCAUAUUCUCAGUUGUGGAUUUUUUGGUUGAUACACUAUUUCUUUCAAUCUGUCUUGUGUUUCGUUUCUCCCAUAGAUGGGUUUGUUCGUUCCAGUGAUCUGCUUUUCACUAUGUCUAAUGCUUCUCCCAUUCUCAAUGAAUUCUCUUUGGUCCUUGCUUACACUGCCGGCUGGUCUUUGUAUAUGGUGUUUCUGGUUUCUCUCUUCUGUGAGCUGUGUGAGUGGGUUCUAUACAUAGUGUUCUGUUAUCUGCUGCAUCUCAAACCAUUCAACUGUUGGUGCAAACGAACUACAAUCCUGGUGUAUGUUGAUGGAGUUUUUGUCCUUGAGAGUUUUAUUCUCAUAAUGUUGUUACUUGUGCAAAACUUGUAUGUUUGAAGUCGAGAUCCUUGGGUCCUCUUCUUCUUCUCUUGGCUCUAGGACAUUUGGAAGUAGUAUUGUUUGUUUUGGCUAGUAAGCUGCAAGCUAAUGGGGUUGUCCAAUAGCAGGUUGUAACCAGUGA
RNA transcript from Papaver somniferum (opium poppy), 3242 nucleotides. It is a transcript of the gene named heat shock cognate 70 kDa protein-like, with no coding region annotated. The record is from RefSeq and is a predicted model, not a curated record. Lineage: Eukaryota; Viridiplantae; Streptophyta; Magnoliopsida; Ranunculales; Papaveraceae. The transcript is spliced from 4 exons.